RNAcentral lists this small RNA (52 nucleotides) under Shimia abyssi. Its description in RNAcentral is "ffh sRNA". It matches the Rfam family "ffh sRNA". Lineage: Bacteria; Pseudomonadati; Pseudomonadota; Alphaproteobacteria; Rhodobacterales; Roseobacteraceae. The record is from Rfam by way of RNAcentral.
UUUGGCCGGGAUCGACCCCCGUUAGCGAGUUUCGCCCACGGGGGACAUUGGC